UAAUUUUUUUUUUCCAUUGUCAUAUUUUGAGAAAUUUAGAGGUAAAUACUGUAGACAUUUCACUAAUACUUUUAUAAUGAGAUAUGUUCAGUUAUCAGAGUUGCCUUGAAUGCUAUCUUGUUUGUAGUUUUGCUACACAUAAUAUUAAUAAUCAUUGCAUUACUACAUAUAGAAAAGUGUACAUUGCCAGACAGCCUUAUCAUUGUAUCAUUGCUAAUGUUAAAACUUAGUCUUACAAAGGGUAGUUAAAUUAAGAUCUUUAUAUUCCUGGAGAAGGAACUUAAUAUUUGUGGUUCUAUCACUCAUGAAUUGGAUAAUUGUUUGAUUAAAGUUUUGACAGAAACAUUAAAUGUGCUUUGUUUUAUAGUUUCAGUGGAUAAGAUUUGUUAAUGUUAUUUUAAUGGAGAAAAAUUUUUGGACCUAAAUUAACAUUAGGUUUUAUUUAAUCAUUCAUGUGUCUACAAGAUGUACAGUACUUACAGUCACUCCAAAAACUAUCUCUUCUUUGGGGGGAGGGGGGGGGAGGGUCGAUGAAUUUCAGAAUGAACACUACGACUUCUGGUGUCUCGGUAGGGUUGUUAAAAUCCUUAGUCCGUUGUCAUAUUUUCUUGACACAAAUUUGUAUAGAUAAUUUUUUGAGUAACUGUACAAGUACGUGUAUACAGGUAUGUCUGUGAAGAGUAUAUUAUGAGUAAAGGUAGCAGUGCAUACUCAUUCCUGGAUAUGAAUAAACAUCCCAGAAGUUCACAUGAAUUUGGUGAAAUUAUAUGAUGUCACAUCCCCAGCCAUACUCUGAGACUGAAGACUUCCUAGAUAUAUCCACUUAACCUUACCUGGUGCAGGUGUCUGGCAUCGGUAUCUAUUGCAGUAUGUAAAGGGGUGAGUGAUAAUUGAGUGUUAAGCUCUGGCGACCAUUAUGGCAAGAAUAUCAUAGAACCCAAUUUAAUUUUUUUUUGUUAUUAUUAUAUCUAUAUGAACAGUUAUUGUUGCCUGGUUUUCACAUUUUAUAUAUGUCAAAUAAUACAACUAUAGUUACAGGCAUAUCCUAUUGCCCUUGUCUCCUUGUUACUAGUAAAUGAAUUUCCAGUGACAGCAUAACUAUGAGUGCAAAUCUGUUAUCUGGUUAUCAGAAUAUGUACAGGGAGGGGGGGCUGGAUGUAUUUGAAAAUGAACACAAUAACACGUGCACAGCAGUCUCGGUUCAGUUUGUUUUUCUGAUUGCGAGUUGCACCUUUUGUUAUUUCUUCUUGCACCUGAUAAUCACCAUGAUAUCUGCAGUAUACCACCUAUUCUCUACAUAAUGUAAUGAAAUAGGAUGAAUUGUGAUACCAUAUGCAAAACCAAUAAUGUCAUGAGUAACCUGCUGAUUUAUGCACCUUAGAUACUAUUUCAGCCCCAGGGAAUGUGUUGCCAAAUAGGAAUAUAACAUCACUGUUUUCAUGAACUGAGGUUACAAUGGAAUCACUUCAAACGGAAUUUGAAACGCUAUGAUCCGAUAUUACAUUCAUUUGUCAUAUCAAAUUACAAUUACAUUGUGAUUUACUGCAUUUCAAUAUUAUUUCUACCUCAAUUGAUGAGGUAAUAUAACGUAUCAUCUCAUGAUUCGCGCUGGCAACAUAACAUUAUCUGAUACACACUAUGAGACGAUGUCGUUGAGUCCUCCCAUAGUCACUAUGGAGACAUCAAAGGCUGCACGAGGGGGUGGAUAUACUAAAUAUUGAUAGGUAGAAACUAAUACAGUAUAGUCUGGAUUUACGCGGUUUUUGUUUAAGCGUUUGGUCAUUUACGCAGUGCCUUGCCAGAAUGAAAUGUUUUAAUUACGCGGUAAAUUUCAUCAUUUACGUGGCGAGCGACUGGAGAGGUCCAGACGCACCGCACCAUUUUUUUACUCACGCGGUCUAUUCUUGACCAUACGCAGGAAGCGGCGCGGUGAGGGGUGCGCAUUAGGUCGCUCUUACGUUAUCGCUGACGUCAUAUGAAGUGUCGGAUUGUGAUUGGGACACGCAUCCUUACCACCCACGCAUUCCCUCCGCCGCUAGCUGUGAUUGGUCUAAUGUAACAUGACGUGCCCUGCCACCAGAAGUCGCUGACCUAGCCAGGCCAGUCUCAUUGUUCUCAGUCCGCGUAUGCAGUUCUCUAUUGUGCCCGCUAUUCCCCUCACAAUGGCUUCCUGUACUUGGGUUGACUUGGUUUAAUUAGACAUUGGUGAUGACGACCAGACUUGUUCUUAAUGAUGUGGUGAGUGUUGUUUAAUUGUUUUGUACAGGUAGUAGUAUUUUUUUUUAUGAUACACGCGAGUGUUCCAACUGGCCAGGAACCUAACUCCAUUGUAAAUAGGGGGAUACCUGUAUAUUAUUUUGUUUUUGACUAUGUAGGCGUUGUUAUUCUCUUAAGACCAGUUUAUUUGAAAAUGGGGAGGUUUAAGAUAAACAUAUGAUGAUUA
Molecule: long non-coding RNA, 2443 nt
Organism: Homarus americanus (American lobster)
Lineage: Eukaryota; Metazoa; Arthropoda; Malacostraca; Decapoda; Nephropidae
Exons: 2
Source: RefSeq, a predicted model, not a curated record